AUGUCUGUGUUAUGGUAGAUGUUUGUGAUUGGUCGUGCUGUGCAAACCCCGCCUCUUUAAUGUGAAGGCGUGCAUCGCUGGUUUGGGAAACCCACGGUUGAUUGAACUUGUUACUAACCCCCGUCGUGACACAGCUUAUGU
Etheostoma cragini (Arkansas darter) is the source of this 141-nucleotide long non-coding RNA. RefSeq lists it as uncharacterized. The transcript has 3 exons. Lineage: Eukaryota; Metazoa; Chordata; Actinopteri; Perciformes; Percidae. The record is from RefSeq and is a predicted model, not a curated record.